AUUCCGAUAACGAACGAGACUCUAGCCUGCUAAAUAGGUGACGGGUUUUAUCAAUUGAAACCGAAGGGAGUACGGAGGCGUCGGGAUCAGGUGGCGGCGAUUCGGGUCUCGGUGGGACUGGUUCCUUUAGUGAGGCACACUCUCGGCUUGGAUUUCGUUGUGCUUUAUUUGUUGGGUGUACGGCCUUCACGGGUUGGUUGCCUGAUGGGUGAGGUAUGGCGGGGUCUUUGUCGGGAAUGUCUCGCGGGGGCUGGCUCUAUUGUUAUUCGGUCGUCGUCAUCCCCGGCGAUACCUUCUGCUCUCGCGUCCGUCACGCAGUCUUC
RNAcentral lists this ribosomal RNA (323 nucleotides) under Daphnia obtusa. Its description in RNAcentral is "partial 18S ribosomal RNA". Lineage: Eukaryota; Metazoa; Arthropoda; Branchiopoda; Diplostraca; Daphniidae. The record is from RNAcentral.